GUUAACUGGGCGUUAAGAAUGGGGAAUCUCUUAAUGUCUCGGUUACUUAAUAUUUUGUUUUAAGAAAAAUCGUUUAAGUUAACUGGGCGUUAAGAAUGGGGAAUCUCUUAAUGUCUCGGUUACUUAAUAUUUUAUUUUGAAAAUCGUUUGUUUAAGUUAACUGGGCGUUAAGAAUGGGGAAUCUCUUAAUGUCUCGGUUACUUAAUAUUUUGUUUUGAAAACCGUUUAAGUUAACUGGACGUUAAGAAUGGGGAAUCUCUUAAUGUCUCGGUUACUUAAUAUUUU
RNAcentral lists this long non-coding RNA (285 nucleotides) under Cicer arietinum (chickpea). RNAcentral describes it as "long non-coding RNA (CARI_LNC002338)". Lineage: Eukaryota; Viridiplantae; Streptophyta; Magnoliopsida; Fabales; Fabaceae. The record is from RNAcentral.